Molecule: non-coding RNA, 29 nt
Filed under: Rattus norvegicus (Norway rat)
Lineage: Eukaryota; Metazoa; Chordata; Mammalia; Rodentia; Muridae
Source: RNAcentral
UGAUGAAUAAUGAUUAAUGUGCCCAGGAC